AUUGAACGCUGGCGGCAGGCCUAACACAUGCAAGUCGAACGGUAACAGAAAGCCUCUUGCUGCUUUGCUGCCGAGUGGCGGACGGGUGAGUAAUGUCUUGGAAACUGCCUGAUGGAGGGGGAUAACUACUGGAAACGGUAGCUAAUACCGCAUAACGUCGCAAGAACAAAGAGGGGUACCUUCUGGCCUCUUUCCAUCGGAUUUGCCCAGAUGGGAUUAGCUAGUAGGGGGGGUAACGGCUCCCCCAGGCGACGAUGCCUAUCUGGUCUGAGAGGAUGAACAGACACACUGGAACUGAGACACGGUCCAGACUCCUAGGGGAAGCAGCAGUGGGGAAUAUUGCACAAUGGGCGCGAGCCUGAUGCAGCCAUGCCGCGUGUAUGAAGAAGGCCUUCGGGUUGUAAAGUAGUUUCAGCGGGGAGGAAGGGAGUAAAGUUAAUACCAUUGCUCAUUGACGUUACCCGCAGAAGAAGCACCGGCUAACUCCGUG
Molecule: ribosomal RNA, 490 nt
Filed under: uncultured bacterium
Lineage: Bacteria
Description: partial 16S ribosomal RNA
Rfam family: Bacterial small subunit ribosomal RNA
Source: RNAcentral